GAGUGUGACACACGAUAGGUCGAAGAGUGGUGCAUGGCCGUUAACGACGAGUGGAGUGAUCUUUGGGUUAAGUCCGUAAAUUAGUGAGACCUCAGCCGUAAGGGACAGGUGCGCAAAGCACAGGAAGGAUGGGUCAAGGACAGGUCAGUGAUGCCCUUAGAUGGUCCGGGCUGCACGCGCACUACAGUGGUCGCCGAAAUUACCUGAUAAUUUUAAAGGCGAUCGAGAGGGAAUGAGCUUUGUAAGAGGCUCAGGAACGAGGAAUUGCUAGUAAUCGCGGACUCAUUAAGACGCGAUGAAUACGUCCCUGUUCUUUGUACACACCGCCCGUCGUUAUCGAAGAUGAAGACAGGCGCGAACGAUCUUACCAGAAAGUGAGCGCAGGUCUUUAGAUCUGAUACAAGUCGUAACAAGGUAGCUGUAGGAGAACCUGUAGCUGG
RNAcentral lists this ribosomal RNA (440 nucleotides) under Loma kenti. RNAcentral describes it as "SSU rRNA". It matches the Rfam family "Microsporidia small subunit ribosomal RNA", at positions 872 to 1304 of the family's 1311-position model. The record is from RNAcentral. Lineage: Eukaryota; Fungi; Microsporidia; Glugeidae.